ACAGUGUGAGGGCUACGAUUUCGAGGUACAAAAAAGCAUGUUCGGAUCCCUCCAGCACCGUAUCGGUUUCGGAAGCCAAUACUCAGUUCUACCAGCAAGAAUCCGCCAAAUUGCGAGCUCAAAUCGGGAAUUUGCAAAACCUAAACAGGCAUUUGUUGGGAGAAUCGAUUAGUUCGUUGUCCGUUAAAGAUCUGAAAAGCCUGGAGAUCAAACUGGAGAAAGGAAUUAGCCGAAUUCGAUCCAGAAAGAAUGAGCUUCUGUUUGCGGAGAUUGAAUACAUGCAGAAAAGGGAAAUUGAACUGCACAAUAACAACCAGCUGAUACGAGCAAAGAUAGCAGAGACAGAGAGAAGCCAACAAAACACAAGUGCAAAUAAUGCAAUAGCAGGAAGAGGGAGAGGAGAGCAAGGAUCUGUGGCUCCAAAUUUAGAGGUUAAUCAUAAUAAUCAAUAUGACCCAGCAAAUUACUUUCCCCAUCAUAAUCAUCAUAUCUCUCUGCAACUUGUGUGAGCAGCUCAUUUCUUCUUCAACUUGAACCAUUUUAAAAGGUAGUUAACCAG
This 559-nucleotide unclassified non-coding RNA is filed under the name Hevea brasiliensis (rubber tree). The record is from RNAcentral. Lineage: Eukaryota; Viridiplantae; Streptophyta; Magnoliopsida; Malpighiales; Euphorbiaceae.